UAGGGAAUAUUGGACAAUGGGUGAGAGCCUGAUCCAGCCAUGCCGCGUGCAGGAAGAAGGCGUUAUGCGUUGUAAACUGCUUUUGCCAGGGGAUAAAAUGACCGUGCGCGGUUAAUUGAAGGUACCUGGUGAAUAAGCCACGGCUAACUACGUGCCAGCAGCCGCGGUAAUACGUAGGUGGCAAGCGUUGUCCGGAUUUAUUGGGUUUAAAGGGUGCGUAGGUGGCCCUGUAAGUCAGUGGUGAAAUAUCUCAGCUUAACUGAGAGGGUGCCAUUGAUACUGCAGGGCUUGAGUACAGAUGAGGUAGGCGGAAUUGACGGUGUAGCGGUGAAAUGCAUAGAUAUCGUCAAGAACACCGAUAGCGAAGGCAGCUUACCAAGCUGUAACUGACACUGAGGCACGAAAGUGUGGGGAUCAAACAGGAUUAGAUACCCCCGUAGUCCCUGAGCGGGCUGGCAAGGCGCAU
This 466-nucleotide ribosomal RNA is filed under the name uncultured bacterium. RNAcentral's name for it is "bacterial SSU rRNA". It matches the Rfam family "Bacterial small subunit ribosomal RNA", at positions 355 to 825 of the family's 1533-position model. The record is from RNAcentral.